AAAAAAAAAAAAAAAAAGACAAAUUACAGCAAAUCCCUUAGCGUAGUUCUCAAAACAGCAGCCGAUUUCUCCUACACGAACAAAAAAAAGAUUAGAAAAAAGGCAAAAAUAGUAUUUUGGGCUCUUUUUUUCUUUAUCAGAUUAAUGACCUAGUAAUGAGUAAUUAACUUUUAAUAAAAAAAAGUCAGAUCCACUCAAGCGCACACAGACCUUUUAUGGUAGGCUCACUUACCUGGUCGAUAUUUUCCUUGGGCGAUGAUUCAAGAGAGUGAUCAAGCAGCCUUCCUCUUUCAUCGUAGAGAAUAAGUCCACUGAACCUCGGCAACUCACAUUUCUCCCCCAUUAGUAUUGGCCUCUGCCACACUGGUGACACCGAGUUAUGGCUUGGCCACCCCACACCAGACCUCGACGACGACUCACACUCUCCAAACCCAAGAAGUGGCUGUGGCGGUGACCUCUCUCCCAGGCUCCCAACACUUGUCUCCUCCUCCCACUUGCUUGCUUCGCUCCACCUCAUCGACUCCAUCAAUAUCCUCCUUAUUCUGACCAAGUUACUAGAGUGAGACUCAUGAUUAUCAGACCUCGUAAUGGAGGCAUCAGUAGUUGCAGGGUCUUGGUUCGCCAUUGGCUUUCUUUGGGCCUUCCUUUUUAGCAUGGUCGCAGUGCAUAGGCCGAUGACAGCAAAGGCAGUGCAUGCAAAUAGAAGGAGUGCUUGUUGGGUUGUUAGGUUCCAUUUGUCCUCUAAAUUCCACAGUGCUUCCAUGGCUGCAAGUUUCUCAGUGAGAGAGUGAAUCUGCUACAUGGGGAUAUAUGCAUGGUGUAUGGGUUCACGUGGGAUCCACCGCCGCUGGCCCGGCUUGCGGUAGCCAUGUGGGGGUUGCUCUGCCCUGGGGCUUCAUUUUAGCCGUUGUAUCUCACCGAUUGAAGCUAAUAAUAAAGACUCUCACGAGGGAUGUGAAGUUGCCAUAAAAUGUCUGGGAAGGUAGAGAGCAAUUUUUUGCACAAUAGCAAUUCGCUUUUGUGUUGAAGUAAUAAGGUACUCCUGUGCGCUCCACUAAAACCUUCUCAAUCCCAGUAUCCUGGCAAAAACUGCUCAACAAUACAAUAUGCGCAGUUAGUUAUUUUUUACAAUCGCCAUAAUGCUUGCUCAAAUAUUUGAAUUCAAAUAAAAAAACAAUUAACCAUCUUUGCUUCAUUCUCUACUCCAUUAUGCCAGGACCUGAG
Molecule: unclassified non-coding RNA, 1224 nt
Filed under: Hevea brasiliensis (rubber tree)
Lineage: Eukaryota; Viridiplantae; Streptophyta; Magnoliopsida; Malpighiales; Euphorbiaceae
Source: RNAcentral